CGCUUACAAAUCCUAUUCCGCUAAAACUCUCAGCUCGAGAGAAACCGUCAUUGGAAACCCUAAAUUAUCUAAAUCUCAACAACCCCCCCUCAGCAAAUCCGAAAUCGCCAUUGAUGCUCAGGUUUGUCCGUUUCUCUGUUUCUUUGAUGUUCUUCUUAUUUUUUUAUAGUAAAUUUCUUGUUCAUGAUUAAUGUGAGUUGUCUGUUUUAAUUUCUUGUUGUUGAUAAAAUUAUGAUUACUCUGGUUAAUCGGCGACUGACAAUGUCGUGCGGAGACUGCCGAACCCUUCUCAAUCCGUUGAAGAAGUUCAAGAACAUGCCGAUGUCACCUCUCACUCCAAUUUCUCCGAAUUCACUGAACCUGUUGUCAAUCUCGUCUGUUCUUCUUGCGGCAAACCGUGAAUUUCUGUCUCAUUUUCUUUCAUUUUCUGUGUGUUUUUAUUAGGGUUUUGCAAUUUCUGAAUUUGAUCCCCUUUAGCAAUUCAAUCAGGAGAGAGAUUUUCAUACUAAAAGAACAGGCCACACUGAAUUUACGGAUAAGACUUCUGAAGUCACCAAACCUAUUAAUUUUGAAUCACCUAAUUCUUCCAAUUCUGCUCCUAUGGAUGUUGAUGCUCAAUCUCAAGAAAUGGUUGUCCCUGAGGUUGAUCAAAAUCUGGUUCGGGAACUUGAAGGGAAUGGGAUUCUCCACAGCACGGGCUACCCGAGCACUUUAUUGCUCAGAUUUCAGUCAAAGCAAUAGUGUUGCUGAGUGCAGAUCUUUCUAGAGACGUAGUUCCUUCGUUUUCUAGGAUCCUUCUGCGUACUUCAUUGGGAAAGAAACAUUUGGUACAGCCGCUGCUGCGGACUGAAAUUACACAAGUGGUAAAUAGGCGUGCAUGGUAUGAUGCCACCAAACUGACAACAUAAGUCUUAAACCUAUACAAGCAAGUGCAAUGGAGGAUAUUCGGCAUCUACAAAUUUGCAAAUAAAGAGAAGGCUAGAGUUUCAUAGAGAAUGUUCUGUGUAGAAUUAUACCUGCCAAAUUGUCUCAGUUGCGGGGAAGACCAUUAGCGAUUCUUCAUUUCAGAUUCAAUGUCAUGGCUGUGGUGUUUAUCCAAGGUAUGCUUCUGAUUUGGAAAGGGUUUGGCAAGAUACAUGUUUUGUUGCAUUUCUAGAUGAAACUGUUUCAGAAGAACAUCUGUAAGAUUUUGAUAUUUGAACAGAGAAAUGUGAAAGAUAGCCAUGAAGAUUCUUUUAUAAGAGAAAAGAGGAUCAUCGGCCAAUCAGCCCCACUGUUUACUCUGCAAAAAUUCAAAACAGCUGAUCUAGAAAAGAUAAGACAAUUGCAGACAUCGUCUUCAAGGAAGUUCCAUUCUUAUGAUUUGCCUAAACCAGGUGAUACGAGUAGGAUUUCUGCUAGAUCUGAGAAUCGUGUUUUAAGCACCAAGCCAAAUCAUGUGCUUGCUGAAAAUUUAUAUCAUUCACCCUCUCUGGUGCCGAACACGUAUGAAAAGCUUGUACGAACUGAAAUGCAUAACUCUCAUGCAUAAAGAUGAGGUUGCUAGAGAGGAGACAGAGUUGGGAUUCUAUAUUGAUUUGACGCCAUGUUGUUAUUUAUUGAUUGUAUUCUUUGUUAGAUAAUUUUUUGCAAAGUAUUAGGUUUUAUAUUGGAGGGAGUUUUGAUGUAAGCAUACCCAUGUAACUGAUAUUUUUUUAUUCAUAUUUUUUGAAAUAUAACGAGUUAACGUGAAAA
Molecule: long non-coding RNA, 1734 nt
Organism: Spinacia oleracea (spinach)
Lineage: Eukaryota; Viridiplantae; Streptophyta; Magnoliopsida; Caryophyllales; Amaranthaceae
Exons: 7
Source: RefSeq, a predicted model, not a curated record